GGAUGCGAUCAUACCAGCACUAAAGCACCGGAUCCCAUCAGAACUCCGCAGUUAAGGUGCUUGGGCGAGAGUAGUACUAGGAUGGGUGACCCCCUGGGAAGUCCUCGUGUUGCAUCCC
Molecule: ribosomal RNA, 118 nt
Filed under: Ananas comosus (pineapple)
Lineage: Eukaryota; Viridiplantae; Streptophyta; Magnoliopsida; Poales; Bromeliaceae
Source: RNAcentral